CUUCCAUGACAGAGUAAAGCCUCAGGAACUCUGUUGUGUACUCUUUCAUUGAACCCGUUCGAUUAUGGUUGCUCACCGCAACCUCUAUAUCGAUGCACUCUCCAGGCCCAAAGAACUUCAAAAAUUUCACCACAAACUGCGACCAUGAAUCCAAGCUGUGGUAGGGCUCGUACAAGUCUGACAUCCAUGGAAUCGCAUCCCUCUGUAAGUGAAGGGACGCAAUCUCCACUUUCUUCUCCUCAGAGUCUUGAGGUACUUGACGUAAAGCUCCGCGAGGGAGAGCCAGUCUACUGGGUUGUCGUUUCCUCCGUGAAAACAGGGAAGUUCAGGUUCAUUGUGAGGAGGACCCAUCCUUUGUUCUUGAUUGUUCAAACCCAACUCUAAGUUGUCGGAUUUCUUCCAAAAGCAUUUGCUGGAAGUGAGUUUGUGCGGAGGCCAUGGAGUUUAUCGAGUUCUGUAGCUCCUGAAGCGAAGCCUGAGUUUUUCUUUGUGGAGUUGUAGCUCCAACUCUAGGGAACCCAUUUCUUGUGGAGAAAUAGGGUUUUUGCCCAUGUUCUCGGAACCAAGCUCUGAUACCCAAAUAGGAUCAGAAGGGGAAGAGGAAGAAGAAGACAAAAGGAAUAUCAGAGGUGGUCAAAAGUGGAGCCCUAGAGGCUAUUUAAGAAAAAUGAGUAGGCCAAUCGAAUCAGCAGCC
This 694-nucleotide long non-coding RNA is filed under the name Prunus dulcis (almond). Its description in RNAcentral is "sRNA ncRNA". Lineage: Eukaryota; Viridiplantae; Streptophyta; Magnoliopsida; Rosales; Rosaceae. The record is from RNAcentral.